UUAGAGUUUGGAUCUGGCUCAGAACGAACGCUGGCGGCAGGCUUAACACAUGCAAGUCGAGCGCCCCGCAAGGGGAGCGGCAGACGGGUGAGUAACGCGUGGGAAUCUACCCAUCUCUACGGAAUAACUCAGGGAAACUUGUGCUAAUACCGUAUACGCCCUUUUGGGGAAAGAUUUAUCGGAGAUGGAUGAGCCCGCGUUGGAUUAGCUAGUUGGUGGGGUAAAGGCCUACCAAGGCGACGAUCCAUAGCUGGUCUGAGAGGAUGAUCAGCCACAUUGGGACUGAGACACGGCCCAAACUCCUACGGGAGGCAGCAGUGGGGAAUAUUGGACAAUGGGCGCAAGCCUGAUCCAGCCAUGCCGCGUGAGUGAUGAAGGCCUUAGGGUUGUAAAGCUCUUCACCGGAGAAGAUAAUGACGUU
This 421-nucleotide ribosomal RNA is filed under the name Rhizobium giardinii. Its description in RNAcentral is "bacterial SSU rRNA". It matches the Rfam family "Bacterial small subunit ribosomal RNA", at positions 1 to 458 of the family's 1533-position model. Lineage: Bacteria; Pseudomonadati; Pseudomonadota; Alphaproteobacteria; Hyphomicrobiales; Rhizobiaceae. The record is from RNAcentral.